This 155-nucleotide non-coding RNA is filed under the name Candidatus Peribacteria bacterium. RNAcentral describes it as "6S RNA". It matches the Rfam family "6S / SsrS RNA". From Rfam's summary of the family: E. coli 6S RNA was the first non coding RNA to be sequenced, but its function was unknown until recently. It consists of 184 nucleotides that fold into an extended hairpin structure with a large single-stranded internal bulge. The record is from RNAcentral. RNAcentral also lists the same sequence under 1 other name. Lineage: Bacteria; Candidatus Peregrinibacteriota; Candidatus Peribacteria.
CUUAGUCUCAGCGACUCGUCAGGGCAGUAUACGUUUAUCCUCAACGCGCAUUACGGGAGGCUAACUCUCUCCGGGCCGUGGUCCGGGGAUGCGGCCACCCACCUGGAAACAACCAGGAGUAAAGCGUCCCUGCUCAACGGUCGUUUGGACUUACC